UUUUAGCAGACGCUCGUGCAGAAAAUUCCAGAAACAGUGAAGAUUACAGAUUUCGAUUUCUGAUUUUUUGUUAAUCUAUACUCCAUUCUCUUCAACACUCAGAUCAGAUGCAGAAAAUUAGAUAGUCGCGAAGGCAUGAAAGACAACGCAAAAUGAUGCAAUUUUGUACAUAUAUUCGGAUAGUUCCAACAGAGAAGUAUGAUAGAACUUAAAUAUAGGUGAAAAGAUAUCUCAGGAUGCCUUCUGGAAAGGAGAUGCAGUUGUGGUGGUCUGGAGAAGCUGAGAGUAUGUUUGUCUACUAUCUUACAGGAGCAUUGGCAAUUGCUUUGAUUGCAAGCUUUACAUUAACAAGGUCAUUGAGGAGGAAAGAGCCUUUAGUGACAGAAUUGCUUCAUGAAGACAAUACAAGGGAGGUUCUUGUAACAUAUAUGCUGGAAAUAGUCACAUCACCUUUAUCUGGUCAGUAUCUUAGUAUAAAGACACAGCUGCACACUUUAGAAAUCCAACCAUACUGGGAAGUGGGAGGCAAAUAUAUUUAAUGCCCUUUUGUCUCUAAAGUUGUCAGUAAGUUAAGAACAGUUUGUUUCAUGUCUAAUUGAAAAGGUAUAACAAACUUUCUAAAAAUAGUUGUCAGCAUGGAGUCUUAUACACCUGGGCAUAUGUAAAUUAAUAAGAACAGUUUUUCCCCUCGAUUAAGCAGUAAAUGGCAUUUUUAUGGGUGAAUUAGAAACUUGAUUUUGCCCAUCAACAAAAAUAUUCAUUUAUGUGAAGUAUUACAUAUUCUAUUUUGCUAAUCAAGUUUUCCAAUUUUUGAGAGACAUAUUGUUUUUGCCUUGGCAGUCAGUCUGUCUUUGCUGUCUGUCCGUCCGCGCAACCGAAUAGGGGUAGGGAGCCAUCUAAUGGUAAACA
Ruditapes philippinarum (Manila clam) is the source of this 909-nucleotide long non-coding RNA. RefSeq lists it as uncharacterized. The record is from RefSeq and is a predicted model, not a curated record. The transcript is spliced from 3 exons. NCBI's taxonomy places the organism in Eukaryota, Metazoa, Mollusca, Bivalvia, Venerida, Veneridae.